Molecule: long non-coding RNA, 202 nt
Filed under: Mytilus galloprovincialis (Mediterranean mussel)
Lineage: Eukaryota; Metazoa; Mollusca; Bivalvia; Mytilida; Mytilidae
Source: RNAcentral
GAAAAUUUUGCUUUGCCAUGGUAUUUUGACCCCCCUGCGGUAUACUGAACCCCCUACUCAAGGCCUUUAAUUUCCAAAAAUCUGGCAAUUCUAACUCUUUUAUGUAGUUAGAAUUCACCAAUAAGUAGUUUGUAUGUAUUUAACUUGCUGGAAAAGAUAUUUUUAAAAUUUUACUUUGCCAUGGUAUUUUGACCCCCUCCCC